AUGGUGAUGGCCAGCGCCGGCGUCAACAACAUGCCCUCCCACCAGAUGGGGGAGGGGCACAUCGACUCCGAGGAAUGCCGCCUGCGCAGGCGCAGGCGCAGCCGCCUCAACGCCCACCACGCCUCCUCCGCCCCGGCCCCCGGCCCCGCCGAGGAAGGGGAAGUAGUGCAGUCCCCGCCGCCCUCCUCCGACUCCUCCUCCGAGUCCGCGCCGUCCUCGCAGAGCGCUGCCGAGGAGGGCUCUGACGCGGUUGUCGCGGCGGCGCCCCAGCAGCUGCCCUCCUCCAAGGAGAAGGAGAAGAGAUGGCCCGUGUCGUUCGGGUCGGUGGCGCUGGCGGGGCGGCUGCGGGAGAUGGAGGACACGGUGUCGCUGCACCCUAGCUUCUGCGCCUGGGCCGACGGCUCGCCCAUGCACCUCUUCGCCGUCUUCGACGGCCACGGCGGCCCCCACGCCGCGGCGCUGUGCAGGGAGCAGAUGCACGUCAUCCUCGCGGAGGAGAUGGCCGGCGCCGCGGCAGCCUUCAACAACCGGCAGCAGUCGGAGGAGCAACCGGCGGAGGCGUCGGCGUCGUCGGAGCAAGUGGCGUGGCGUGGCGCUCUCUCCAGGAGCUUCGCCCGGGCGGACGCGCUGGCGGUGUCGGCGUGCGCGUGCGGGCGCGGGAGCACUGCGAGUGUGCCCAAGUCGUGCUCCUGCCUGCUGUCGUCGGCGCAGAAAGGCGCCAUCGUGGGGUCGACGGCCGUGGUGGCGCUGCUGGUCCGCGACCGCCUCAUCGUGGCCAACUGCGGCGACUCCCGCGCCGUGCUCUCACGAGGUGGCGUCGCCGUGCCGCUCUCCCAGGACCACAAGCCGGACCGGCCGGACGAGAUGGCGCGGAUCAAGGCGGCCGGCGGCAAGGUUAUGUACAUGAACGGGGCGCGCGUCCGCGGCAUCCUCGCCAUGUCCCGAGCGCUAGGGCACAGGCUCCUGAAGCCAGAAGUGAUAUGCGAGCCAGAGAUCAGCAUAACCGAAAGGUGCGAGGACGACGACUGCCUAAUCCUCGCCAGCGACGGGCUGUGGGACGUGAUCUCCAACAAGGUGGCCUGCGACGUGGCACGACAAUGCCUGGAAGAUGGGAGCCCGACCAGAGCUCCUGCUGCAGCAGGGAGCAGCGAAGCCACUCCCAGCAGCAGCGGCAGCGCACCGGCAGUUUCCCAGGAGGAAGAGCCCCGGUGCUUCCGCGCAGCGGCCCUCCUCGCGAGGCUGGCCCUAGGGAGGGAGAGCUCCGAUAACAUUAGCGUGGUGGUGGUUGAUCUGAAGGCGAGGGGUUAG
RNAcentral lists this ribosomal RNA (1308 nucleotides) under Triticum aestivum (bread wheat). RNAcentral describes it as "partial small subunit ribosomal RNA". The record is from RNAcentral. Lineage: Eukaryota; Viridiplantae; Streptophyta; Magnoliopsida; Poales; Poaceae.